CCACCGCCACCGAGCUGUGAAGACAUCAUCAUUUCAUGUAUAAUCUUUUGUACAGAACUCUGAGAGUCAUUAGCAUCCACGUCAUUUGAAUGGGCUGGUUGCUGCAUUGAUAUUUUGGGGGAAUUUGCAGAGUUCAUGUGUUGCACUGAUGAUAAGCCACUGUGUGAAGCUUGUGGUGUAUUGUUGGAUGACGAUGGUGUUGGAGAUUGGAAUUGAGAAGAGUUGGGUUGAGACUGAGGCAUUGUACUUGAAGAAUUGGGUGAAGGCAUUUGGACAGCAUUUCCUGAGUAGGUACUACUUCCACCAUUCACUGGAUUUUGUUGCCUGGAGUUCAUGGAAUUUUGGUGCAGUAAUCCAACAACUGUACCACUAGACGAAGUAGCAGCUACUUGGUUCACAGAAUUGUUUACAUUCGACAUACCAUUGCUCAAAGGUAGAGGCGGUACACCAGGCUGUGAAGUCGUCUCAUGGUUCGAGCUACUGACUGUUUGAUGUGUAUGUUGU
Molecule: long non-coding RNA, 504 nt
Organism: Solanum verrucosum
Lineage: Eukaryota; Viridiplantae; Streptophyta; Magnoliopsida; Solanales; Solanaceae
Exons: 2
Source: RefSeq, a predicted model, not a curated record